Molecule: long non-coding RNA, 6462 nt
Organism: Taeniopygia guttata (zebra finch)
Lineage: Eukaryota; Metazoa; Chordata; Aves; Passeriformes; Estrildidae
Source: Ensembl
UUUUUUUUUUUUUUUUCCCCUGCUUCACAAACAGCAAAGUGAAUGUUUGAGCAUCUCAGUGGGGGGUUAAUGAGGACUCUGAUUAGUUAUUCAGAUUUGCCGAUGCUGCCUACAUCCAUCCUCGGAUGGGGGAGUAGCAGGAAAGGGUUUGCAGAAAAAGCUCUUAAAGAUGACCUGCUUGGCUUUCACAGCUCAGGGGGAUGGAGGCUUUGGGGGGCUCACAUUACAGGGCUCCUCAACCCCAAAAUCCUAGUGCCAACUUUGAGAUGGAAAAGUUUAUUUUCCCAUCAUUUGUAGGGGAUGCUAAAAGCUGCUGCACAUUCAGUCAUGCCAAGUCUUGUGAAGUUUCUGGGAAAAACAUUUGGAUUUGUGGGAUUUUUUUUCACUUGAGAAAAAAAAAAUUAUUGGGUGCCCUUAAUAGAAUUUGUGUGCAGUUCUGGUCAGAAGUAUAAGACCAAAAAUGAUGGAGGGACAGAUGCAAGACACGUGGAUUCAUGGAUGCAAAGAUGCAUGGAUGAACACACAUGGUGAAAAGACACACGGAUACACGGAGAUAAGGGUGGAAGAAAGGAUGGAUCACCCCAUAAGCCACCACUGGGCUGCAAAAAUGCAACAACUGCUGCAGUAUUUCCUACAGCAUCCCAUAAAAGUGGUUUAUGUCCUUGCAAAAAAGCAAUGAGCUCACCUCCUUGCUCCUUGACCCAGGGAUAUUUUAAGCAGGUUGAGCUCACAUCAGUAUUUUAAGAAGGUUGAACUCCUGUAAUUUGGGGGUUUCUUUCCAGAUUUAGGCUUUUGCUCUUCACCUGCAUCAAAAAUCAAAAGGGAACCUGAGAAAAUAAGUGGCAGGUGCCCAAAAUGAUGUCAUAAAAGGCCUGAAGGAUGGAGCCAGGGGGGUGUUUCAUGGCAUUGCAAAGGGGCCAAUAAAAAAAUUCAGGCAUUAUUUUAGGAUUCACUCUAGAAUUUGUUAUUUCUUCGUGAAGAAGAAAUAUUUGAAGGAUGAGCAGGAGGGAGAAGGCACUGUCUCAGUGGUAAAUUCAUCCCAACAAUGAAUGUCAACACUGGAUUUCUCUGUGGGUCUAGAGACCCAGCUGGGUCUUGCUUUGAGUACCACUGUAUCACUCAACCCAGCAUCCAACAGGGGUUCUGAGGACCUAAACUCUCUGGUAUUUGUGUCAUUUCCCACAACACCUGCCAGGAUCUAAGGGGAAAGACAAACUAGUUAUCCUUCAGAUUUCACAUUGAGGCACUCCAUCCCAAACAGGCUCUUUUCCCAAGGACUGCCUCCAUAUGCUUUGUCUGGGUUUUAAACGGUGUGUUAAUUGUUCUGAAUUAACAGCUCCAGCUGGGGACGCAAACAAGCAAUUUGCAACCUUAAGAUAACACCCAACUUAUCUCAAGUGAUUUAAAUUGGGAUUUUUUUUUGUUUGUUUGUUUGGUUCAGGGGAAGUGGGGUUACUGUUUUUUUGGGGGUUUGGUUGUUUUUUUGGGGUUUUUUUUUAGGGGACAUAAUGCCUUUCUAGUUGUGAAUACACUGUCCAGAGCUAAAAUCACUUAGUGCACCCAAUCCAUCAGGAGUGACCAUUGGCACAUGGUCACAGGGGGAGAUGGGAUUGCACAACAAAGAGAAAAGAUGAAAAAUCUCUGCAUUCACUUUGCUUUAGAGACAGGAAAAAUCUAAUAUAUCCUCAUCACUUCUGGGCAAACCACUGUCUGCAGAAGAGCUAAGGAUUAUUUUCUCCCCAACACCUUUUAUUUUCUAUUACAUAGAAUCAGGGAAUCCCAGAAUGGUUUGGGUUGGAAGGGACCUUAAAACUCAUCUUGUUCCAACUCCCUGCUACAGGCAGCGACACUUUCCACUACCCCAAACUGGUCUAAAUCCCUGUCCAGCCUGGCCUUGGACAUUUCCAGGGAUGGGACAACCUGUGCCAGGGCCUCACCAUUCUCACAGGGAAGAAUUUCCAUUUACAGCCUGUUUCACAGUAUUCUAGCUCUCAAAAAAAUCAAAAAAACCUAAUAGCAAACUCAUUCAAGCUUUAUCCCUUUGUCCUCUUUCAUCUUUUUCCCUUUUGUUUUUUUUUCAUUUGCAGCUAUAUAGAGGAAGGGAGAAAGAAAGACCAUGCUGGUUAUUUGUUUACAAGACUGGAUCUUCAUUUUUUAAAAAAAUUGUCAUUUCAGCAAUUUGAAUCCUUUCUAAUCUCACUGAGGGUGUGGGAUUCAAGGAGGAAAGUCCACCCCUCUCUCCCCACCCCUCCAUGACCGGUUUUAAGAGGAGUCAGUGGUGCUGCCAGUGAAACAGAUGCCACAAGAAAAGAUUUCUAUGACUAUGAUCAAGUGUCUGUUGCCAGAUUGAGUGGAAACUCCUCUUGCUGCUUGUCCUGGUUCCAGCCAGGAGAGGGUUAAUUUCUGCAGUGGCUGGGAGGGGGCAUGGCCAGGACUUGGUUAUUCUAUACCACUUCACAUCAUUUUUUGGGGGGAGGGGCAGGAAAGGGACUCCCUUCCCAGCCGGAGCAGCUCUACCUUAAGGUGAGCAUUUCUGUAUGUGAAUCACUCUCUUUUGGUACCAUUUUGUUAUUUAUGUUGUUGCUCUUACUGUUUGUUUUCUCAUUCUGGUUUCCAGUAAAUUGUUCUUAUCUCAACCCAUCUUUUUGAUGAUGAUCUUUUCCUUUCAUGCCUUUAAUUCUCUUCUCCAGGAGGAGAAGGGGAGGGAAAAGGGGAUCCAGUGAGCAGCAGCAUGGUUUGCAAAGUCUCAGUAGAUGCACUAAAAUGGGGGAACAAUUCCUAAAUCAUGACUCUACCCCAGCCAAGACUGAGGUGGGGUAAACGUCCAUCAACCCCCAAAAGUUUUGCAAGAUUGGCUCCCAUCAGAUGACUGGGCUUGUGAUGGGGUCAUUCUGCUGAAGUUGGAACACUUUGUCUCCAUUUUGUCUCCUCUUCCCAGAGGAAAAAAGGUCUAACUGCGCCCUGAGGACAUGAAGAAGGGACAUUAACAUGCAAUGAUCCAUCCUUCUCCAACAGUGGGAGGCACCUCCAAAACACAGACCCAACUCUGGGGCUGUGGGACUCACUGCAGCCUCGGAUGCCCAGAUCCCCAGUGCCAAGCUGUGCUACCUGACCACCUCCUGGCACAUGGAUAAAGUAACAGGAGAAGCGAUAAAUCACUUUGGCACCCUCCCUGGGCAUGGCAGCCCUCGAUAAAAAACCCAAACUCAGGGGAGGGAGUCUGACACCACGCUAUUCCCAGCGCAUUCCGUUGCGCAGAUUAAUCCUUCUUGAUGGAGAAUUACAAUUAGGGCUUCGUCUUAAGGAGAUAUCAGCAAUCAGAUAUCUUAUCAAAUGCCACCUCAAUUAUUCAAAUAAUCCCUGGCUCUUAGAUUUGGGUGCUGUUUAGGGAAAGCAGUCCGAUUAAUGUGCUGACACUUCCCCAUCACGUCCGACAUCCUCAACUUCAUGUCUGAUUACGGAAUUUGCAUUCAAUUUAAUUUUUUCCAUCUGGAGUAAAUGAAUAAUCCGAGUACCUACCCCAGCCUUAAUUACAUUUGUUAAAUUAAAAACCUGGGAUGUGAGAAAUUUAAAUGCAUGUAGCUCCAUGGCCAGACAAACCUGCAUGUUCAACCUGCCGCAGCCCUGCCAGCUCCUGCUUCAAUUUCUCUUCCUUCCCCACAGCCAGGCAUCAAGGAAAUUACAACUAGAAAACAAAAAUUCUUUCUAAACGAUGAAACAAUAGAUGAUCUUUUGACAUUUCCAGCGCUGUUUGCAAGGGAAUGAGAUAAAAUGUAAUAAAUUCAUAUACUUCUGUGUGUUUCUUGGCUCCAGCAGCUAAAAUUUCCAUCUCUUUAUGCAGGAGUCCUGGGGAGCAGAAAUCCUUGAUAAUGCCAAACAAUUCGACACUUUAUUUUCUCUUUACUCCACACCAUGCAAAACACAGGCUUCAAGCUGCCAGCUGCUGGGAGUGAAACCAGAUGCCACAUCCCUUUUCCAUAUGGAAACUGAAAUCGCCCAGUCUGGGGGGCCCGUGUGCUCCCCUCAGUCCCAGCCCUCCGUGACCCCAGGGCUGCUACUGGCACACAGCAAAGCCUCCCUCCAACUGCAAAAAAACCCACUAUUUCAAUGGUGCAAUUGUCAUUUUCUACACUCAGCCUGGCUCAGGCCAGAUUGUGGUAGCAUCAGAGCCAGAGGACAUCAAAAAAGAUUCACCCCAAGCCACCACAUAUUCCUAAUUUUAAAAUAAAGAAGUAAACAGAGAAGUGUGAGUAAAACCACUGAACUUGAUAAAUGUUUCAAAAUAAACUCAGCAGAAGCUUGCUGAGUUUCCCUUCUUUUAGAGAUGAUGAAACUUGAAAGGAUGGAUUUAAUAGGUGGACACGAAGUGGUGAUAAGAAAAGUGUUGAAAUAAUUAAAGAAUAAUUAAACAUUAAAUGGAAAAUAAAGCACUACCAACACAGACCACUUUAGGAGGAAUACUUCACAGGUUAAUUGGAAAUAGGAAGUGUCAAAUAAAUAAAUUUGGAUGUUGAUCUAGAUGUCAGCAGCAAUGAAAAUGUCGAGGAAAGUCUUUUCCCAACACUCACAAAGAUUGAAUUAAAUAACUUACAUGUGAGUGAGUGCAAUGACAGCAAUCCUCCAGUCUGAGGUUUGUGAGACCAGUAAUAAAAUAUGGUUAAAAAUAUUCAGGGAAAGCCACACUCGGGUAAAGCGAGACAGGUGAGAGCAGAAUCAAAAACAGUUUUUCCUUUCCUCCCAGCAUGCUUGCAGCUCACACAACACUUCUGCACCCCAGGAAGCUCAAUUUGACUCCCCAGCCCAAAAAAAUCCCUUCAGAGGGGUGUACCAGAGCAUCCCCCCAGGUACAGUGGCCAUCAGGUCUGGCCAUCAGAGCAGGCAGCUGAGAUGCAGUCUAAUGGACCUGCGGUUCCUCGUCCUUCCUGACUUUCUUCUGCUUUGUUUGGAGUUAAAAGUUAUAGUUCCAGAGAAGAAAACAUCAUGUUUUAGCAAUGAGGUCCCCAGCGAGGCUGUUUAAAAAUUAAUUAGUGCCAUGCAACGUAUUAGCAAUGAACAGUAAUUUUAGCUUUUGUACUUACUUCGUUGCCUUCUACAUGGUUGUUAUUCCAGCUUUUCCAUGGUCCUCCCAGCCAACCAGGACCUACACAGAGCAUACCAAGGGAAUUAUUGGCUGUGCCCCCUGGAAAUACCCAAUUCAACAGCAAAACACCCCCCAGCGUGAUCCCUCUGAAGGUUUUAAAUAAAUUAGGGUCAUAUUUGCUGAGCUGGCUGGAAGGUGGGGAAGCUGCUCUGCUCCCAGAGGUGCCCAUCAUCCCAAAAGAGCAGCUGUCCCAGGUGUGAGCCUGUCCACAGGUAAACCCUGAGCAACGUGGGUGUUGUGGUGGGGUGUGGAGGAGGUUGUGGGUCAUGGCUUCAGCCAGGAUGGAGGACAAGGUCCUCCCUCCAUGGGCAGACAUGGGUGGGAUCACCCAGACCUGACGAUGGAGAACCUUCAAGGAUGGAGAUCUGCCAACCCCAGAUGUAUCUGCCAGCCCCAGAGUUGAAGAUUUUCCUCCAAACCCAAGGAGGAAGACCCUCAUAUCCCAAAAAUGGAGAUAGGCUCCCAACUCUGAAGGUGAAGAUGCUCAGGGAUGGAGCUCCACAAAACACAAGGAAGAAUCCACCUAACCCCAAGGCUGGGAAUUCCCCCAAUCACAAGGAAAGGGAUCUCCCAAGCCUGCAGAUCUCCAAAACCCAAGGAUGGAGACUCACAAACUUCAAGGAUCGAGCUCCUUGCCCUGACUAUGGGGAUCUACCAACCCUAAUGAUGUGGAAUCUCUAAACCCAAGGAUUCUCAUAACCCUGAGGACAGAGAUUCUGCAGACUCCAAGGAUGGGGAUCCCCCCACCCAAGAAUGGAGAGAGAAAUCCCCUCCAGGACAAAGACCCCCAAACCUAAGGAUGCAAACCCCAUCUCCCCCAGCCCCAUGGAGGGCAAUCACCCCCUGGGACAUCAGUGGCUGGAAGCUUCACCCCACACUGCAUGGAGCAGAACCUGUGGUCAUCACUCUGGUCUGGCAAUGGCCCCCUCCCAAAAUACAACCCCAAAUGAGCCACCCCUGCGCUCCUUUUGGCAGUGGGAGAGGCAGCAGGGACCAAGGAACCUCACUGUGCGCACUGCCUUCAGGUGGAUUGCGGAGCUGAGGGGAAAUUUGCUGGGACAUCUGGAAUAUAUUCAUUUUAUGGCAUGUUUCAUAUCACAGACAGGUACUUUGAAGCAGUUAAGUAGUAGCAGGGCAGCACGUCCCCAUGGGUGGGCUGCGGUUUGUGCUUUCAGCCCGAGCUGCACCGGCAUGACAAAGGGGCUGGGGAGACAGAGCUGACGUUUUCCAAACACAGCUUUGUGCCUCUGGGGGCAAAUCCAGCAAGAAAUUACAACCCAAAAGGCCAAAAAAUAAAAAAAAAAAUUUAAAAAAAAAAAAAA